CUCGGUAUCGUGAGAUGUUGGGUUAAGUCCCGCAACGAGCGCAACCCUUGUUGUCAGUUGCCAUCAUUUAGUUGGGCACUCUGGCGAGACUGCCGGUGACAAAUCGGAGGAAGGUGGGGACGACGUCAAAUCAUCAUGCCCCUUAUGACCUGGGCUACACACGUACUACAAUGGCGAUUACAAUGGGAUGCAAUGUCGCGAGGCGGAGCCAAUCCAUAAAAAUCGCCCCAGUUCAGAUUGCAGGCUGCAACUCGCCUGCAUGAAGUCGGAAUUGCUAGUAAUGGCAGGUCAGCAUACUGCCGUGAAUACGUUCCCGGGCCUU
Molecule: ribosomal RNA, 322 nt
Filed under: uncultured Oscillospiraceae bacterium
Lineage: Bacteria; Bacillati; Bacillota; Clostridia; Eubacteriales; Oscillospiraceae
Description: bacterial SSU rRNA
Rfam family: Bacterial small subunit ribosomal RNA
Source: RNAcentral